GGAAAUGGCUCCGAGAGGCUUUGACGCAUGUGUACCUUUUUAGUGGCGGUAUCUCGGCCGGGGAUUUUCGGGCUCCAGUGGAGGUGGCUAUGCUCACCCCAUCUCCCUUGAGAGGCACAGAAGGGUCAGGUUGGCCAUCCGCAGGCGUAGUUGCUAGGAAGGUUUGACAGAUGUCCGCCUGUUGAUUCAGACGUUCCCAGGAUUUGGAGCAAGAAGAGCAAGGAAGGCCAGGCGCGGUGGCUCACGUUUGUAAUCCCAGCACUUUGGGAGGCCGAGGCGGGCGGAUCACGAGGUCAGGAGUUCGAGACCAGCCUGGCCAGCAUGGUGAAACCCCGUCUCUACUAAAAAUACAAAAGAAAAUUAGCCGGGUGUGGUGGCACAUGCCUGUAGUCCCACCUACUUGGGAGGCUGAGGCAGGAGAAUUGUUUGACCUGGCAGGCGGAGGUUGCAGUGAGCCGAGAUUGCGCCACUGCACUCCAGUCUGGGCGACAGAGCGAGACUCUGUCUCAGAAAAAAAAAAGAGCAAGGAGGUGUUGAAAAUGGGUUUCCUGGCUGGGCGUGGUGGCUCACGCUUGUAAUCCCAGCACUUUGGGAAGCUGAGGUGGGCGGAUCACUUGAGGUCAGGAGUUUGAGACCAGCCUGGCCAACAUGGUGAAACACCGUCUCCACUAAAAAUAGAAAAAUUAACUGGGUGUGGUGGAGGGCGCCUGUAAUCCCAGCUAAUCAGGAAGCUGAGACAGGAGGAUCGCUUGAACCCAGGAGGCGGAGGUUGCAGUGAGCCGAGAUUGCUCCAUUGCACUCCAGCCUGGGCGAUAGAGUGAGACUCAGCCUCAAAAAAAAAAAAAAAAAAAAAUUCGCCAGGUGUGGUGGUGUGCGCCUAUAAUCCCAGCUACUCAGGAGGCAGAGGCACAAGAAUGGCUUGAAUCACUUGAACCUGGGAGGCAGAGGUUACAAUGAGCCGAGAUGGCACCACUGCACUCCAGCCUGGGCGACAGAGCGAGACUCCGACUUCCCAUCUUAAAAAAAAAAAAAAAAAAAAAAAAGAAGUGUAAAGAUGUGAUUAUGUGGCAGGGGGUAAGGGUUAAAAAGAAAACAAGAACAAGUUUUCCUCUGCUUAGCCAGCUUACUUCAAGGACAGUUAUAACACUGAAAAGUCGAGGCCAAAGGAAUGGGCUCCAGACAGCCUCCUCCGGAGCAAAGUUGAAAAGAAAAAUUCCUUUACUGUCUCUCCUUUUCUGAACCAUUAAAUAUGACUGUUUGCCAAUGGUUGUAUUUAGUAAGAUUUGUAGACUCUGUUUUUCUUUUGACACAGCUGCAAGGCCAACAGCUGUGCAAAGCCACAAGUUAUGCUAAGUCAGCAGUUAUGCUAUAGAUUACAUGACCUGUGACUGUAUCAUUAACUGCUUUUGUUUUGCUUCUGUAAGUUUGCCUAUAAAAACCACACUCAGUCUUUGUUCAAUGGUCAGCUUUUCAGAUACAAAUCCACUGAGCCGGUGUACAUCUAAAUAAAUCCUCCUGUUUCCCGUGUCAGUCUCUCUGGUCCUUUGUUUCCUGCAACAAUUACAGAAAUGAGUGCCUAGCCGGGCAUGGUGGCUCACGCCUGUAAUCCCCACACUUUGGGAGGCCGAGGCUGGAGGAUCCCUUAAGCCCAGGAGUUUGAGGCCAGCUUGAGCAACAUGGCAAAACCCAGUCUCUACAAAAAUUAGCUGAGCGUGAUGGCCUGUGUCCAUAGUUCCAUCUACUUGGGAGGAGUAGGUGGGAGGAUCACUUGAGCUGUGGAGGUCCAGGCUGCAGUGAGCCGUGAUGGAGUCACUGCACUUUUCAGCCUGGAUGGCACAGCUAGACCGUCUCAAAAAAGAAAUGAGUGCAUGCUGUACCCUCUGCUUUUCUAUUUUAUUUACAUUUUACUGUGGAUUUUUAAUAGGUAGCAUAGUCACAUGAUACGUCAAAUGUGCCAAAGACGCCGGGCGCGGUGGCUCACGCCUGUAAUUCCAGCACUUUGGGAGGCUGAAGUGGGCGGAUCACGAGGUCAGGAGAUCAAGACCAUCCUGGCUAACACAGUGAAACCCCGUCUCUACUAAAAAUACAAAAAAAAAUUAGCCGGGCGUGGUGGUGGGCAUCUGUAGUCUCAGCGACUCGGGAGG
Molecule: long non-coding RNA, 2144 nt
Filed under: Homo sapiens (human)
Lineage: Eukaryota; Metazoa; Chordata; Mammalia; Primates; Hominidae
Description: non-protein coding ILF3-DT:20
Source: RNAcentral